AUUGAACGCUGGCGGCAGGCCUAACACAUGCAAGUCGAGCGGAUGAAGGGAGCUUGCUCCUGGAUUCAGCGGCGGACGGGUGAGUAAUGCCUAGGAAUCUGCCUGGUAGUGGAGGAUAACGUCCGGAAACGGGCGCUAAUACCGCAUACGUCCUGAGGGAGAAAGUGGGGGAUCUUCGGACCUCACGCUAUCAGAUGAGCCUAGGUCGGAUUAGCUAGUUGGUGGGGUAAAGGCCUACCAAGGCGACGAUCCGUAACUGGUCUGAGAGGAUGAUCAGUCAACCUGGACGUGGGACACGGUCCAACCCCCUACGGGAGCAGGCAGGGGGGAUUUUGGGACAAUGGCGGAAGGCUUGAUCAAGCCAGGCCGGGGUGUUGAAAAAGUCUUCCGAUUUGAAAGGACUUUUAGGUGGGGGGAAGGGCAGGAAGGUAAAAACUUUGCUGUUUGACGUUACCAACAGAAUAAGCACCGGCUAACUUCGUG
RNAcentral lists this ribosomal RNA (483 nucleotides) under uncultured bacterium. Its description in RNAcentral is "partial 16S ribosomal RNA". It matches the Rfam family "Bacterial small subunit ribosomal RNA", at positions 30 to 507 of the family's 1533-position model. The record is from RNAcentral.